GGCCGCCUGGCGAAAUGGCAUCGCGUCUGACUACGACAGUUGUUCAAUCAGGAGAUUGCAGGUUCGACCCCUGCGGUGGUCA
This 82-nucleotide transfer RNA is filed under the name Crucibulum laeve. It matches the Rfam family "tRNA". Rfam says of the family: Transfer RNA (tRNA) molecules are approximately 80 nucleotides in length. The record is from Rfam by way of RNAcentral. Lineage: Eukaryota; Fungi; Basidiomycota; Agaricomycetes; Agaricales; Nidulariaceae.